UGGGGAAUAUUGCACAAUGGGGGAAACCCUGAUGCAGCGACGCCGCGUGAGCGAAGAAGGUUUUCGAAUCGUAAAGCUCUGUCCUAUGGGAAGAUAAUGACGGUACCAUAGGAUGAAGCCCCGGCUAACUACGUGCCAGCUGCCGCGGUAAUACGUAGGGGGCAAGCGUUGUCCGGAAUCACUGGGCGUAAAGGGUUCGCAGGAGGAAAUGCAAGUCAGUUGUGAAAGGCAGAGGCUCAACCUCUGUAAGCAAUUGAAACUGUAUAUCUUGAGAUGUGGAGAGGCAAGUGGAAUUCCUAGGGUAGCGGUGAAAUGCGUAGAUAUUAGGAAGAAAACCGGUGGCGAAGGCGACUUGCUGGACACAAACUGACGCAGAGGAACGAAAGCGUGGGUAGCAAACAGG
Molecule: ribosomal RNA, 403 nt
Filed under: Fusobacteriota bacterium
Lineage: Bacteria; Fusobacteriati; Fusobacteriota
Description: Fusobacteria bacterium partial 16S ribosomal RNA
Rfam family: Bacterial small subunit ribosomal RNA
Source: RNAcentral